UGGCACGGUACUUAUCUAUCCCAAAUUCUUGUAUUUGGUUUUGAUGUUAUAUUUGUUAUUCUCGUGGUGUUUUGUCUGUUGCUUGGUCUGUUUCUGUGUGUGUUGCGUUUCGGUGUUGUGUCGUUGUUCUCCUCUUAUAUUUAAUGCGUUUCCCUCGGUUUUAGUUUGUUACCCCGAUUUUGUUUUUUGUCCAUGGAUUUAUGAGUUUUGAACAGCGGUAUACUACUGUUGCCUUUACUUAUCCCAGACAUAGAUUACCUUAGCCGUAUUUGGCACAACUUUUUGGAAUUUUGGAUCCUCAAUGCUCUUCAACUUUGUACUUGUUUGGCUUUACAAAUAUUUUGAUAUGAGCGUCACUGAUGAGUCUUAUGUGGACGAAACGCGCGUCUGGCGUACUAAAUUAUAAUCCUGGUACCUUUGAUAACUAUAAUCAUAUA
RNAcentral lists this long non-coding RNA (437 nucleotides) under Mytilus galloprovincialis (Mediterranean mussel). Lineage: Eukaryota; Metazoa; Mollusca; Bivalvia; Mytilida; Mytilidae. The record is from RNAcentral.